UACGUAGGGUGCAAGCGUUGUCCGGAAUUAUUGGGCGUAAAGAGCUCGUAGGCGGUCUGUCGCGUCUGCUGUGAAAACUCAGGGCUUAACCCUGAGCUUGCAGUGGGUACGGGCAGACUAGAGUGCGGUAGGGGAGACUGGAAUUCCUGGUGUAGCGGUGAAAUGCGCAGAUAUCCGAAAGAACACCGGUGGCGAAGGCGGUGGUCUGGGCCUGAACUGACGCUGAGGAGCGAAAGCCAGGGGAGCAAACGGG
RNAcentral lists this ribosomal RNA (253 nucleotides) under uncultured bacterium. Its description in RNAcentral is "partial 16S ribosomal RNA". It matches the Rfam family "Bacterial small subunit ribosomal RNA", at positions 524 to 776 of the family's 1533-position model. The record is from RNAcentral.